UACGGAGGGUGAAAGCGUUAUCCGGAAUCACUGGGUUUAAAGGGUGCGUAGGCGGCUGGAUAAGUCAGGGGUGAAAGCCCGCAGCUUAACUGCGGAACUGCCUUUGAUACUGUCGAGCUUGAAAGAGGUUGAGGUCAGCUGAACGUGACAUGUAGCGGUGAAAUGCAUAGAUAUGUCACAGAACACCGAUUGCGAAGGCAGCUGGCUGGACCUACUUUGACGCUGAGGCACGAAAGCGUGGGGGGCGAACAGG
Molecule: ribosomal RNA, 253 nt
Filed under: uncultured bacterium
Lineage: Bacteria
Description: partial 16S ribosomal RNA
Rfam family: Bacterial small subunit ribosomal RNA
Source: RNAcentral